GCUGGGCAUGGUGGUGCAUGCCUGUAGUCCCAGCUACUCAGGAGGCUGGGGCAGGGGAAUCACUUGAGCCCAGGAAAUUGAGGUUGCAGGGAGCCAACAUCACAUCAUUGCACUCCAGCCUGGGUGACAGAGUGAGACCCUGUCUCAA
RNAcentral lists this non-coding RNA (148 nucleotides) under Nomascus leucogenys (northern white-cheeked gibbon). Lineage: Eukaryota; Metazoa; Chordata; Mammalia; Primates; Hylobatidae. The record is from Rfam by way of RNAcentral.